GAUAAACGCUGGCGGCGCACAUAAGACAUGCAAGUCGAACGAACUUAAUUGAGAGCUUGCUCUCAAAGCGGUUAGUGGCGGACUGGUGAGUAACACGUAAGCAACCUGCCUAUUAGAGGGGAAUAACAGCGAGAAAUCGUUGCUAAUACCGCAUAUGCUGUGAGUAUCGCAUGAUACAAGCAGGAAAGGAGCAAUCCGCUAAUAGAUGGGCUUGCGUCUGAUUAGUUAGUUGGUGGGGUAACGGCCUACCAAGACGAUGAUCAGUAGCCGGACUGAGAGGUUGAACGGCCACAUUGGGACUGAGAUACGGCCCAGACUCCUACGGGAGGCAGCAGUCGGGAAUAUUGCGCAAUGGAGGAAACUCUGACGCAGUGACGCCGCGUGCAGGAAGAAGGUUUUCGGAUUGUAAACUGCUUUUAACAGGAAAGAAAAAAUGACGGUACCUGUGAAUAAGCU
RNAcentral lists this ribosomal RNA (456 nucleotides) under Clostridiales bacterium oral taxon 085. RNAcentral describes it as "bacterial SSU rRNA". It matches the Rfam family "Bacterial small subunit ribosomal RNA", at positions 28 to 492 of the family's 1533-position model. The record is from RNAcentral. Lineage: Bacteria; Bacillati; Bacillota; Clostridia; Eubacteriales.